AAACUAACAAGGAUUCCCCUAGUAGCGGCGAGCGAAGCGGGAAGAGCUCAAAUUUAUAAUCUGGCACCUUCGGUGUCCGAGUUGUAAUCUCUAGAAAUGUUUUCCGCGUUGGACCGCACACAAGUCUGUUGGAAUACAGCGGCAUAGUGGUGAGACCCCCGUAUAUGGUGCGGACGCCCAGCGCUUUGUGAUACAUUUUCGAAGAGUCGAGUUGUUUGGGAAUGCAGCUCAAAUUGGGUGGUAAAUUCCAUCUAAAGCUAAAUAUUGGCGAGAGACCGAUAGCGAACAAGUACCGUGAGGGAAAGAUGAAAAGCACUUUGGAAAGAGAGUUAACAGUACGUGAAAUUGUUGGAAGGGAAACGCUUGAAGUCAGACUUGCUUGCUGAGCAAUCGGUUUGCAGGCCAGCAUCAGUUUUCCGGGAUGGAUAAUGGUAGAGAGAAGGUAGCAGUUUCGGCUGUGUUAUAGCUCUCUGCUGGAUACAUCUUGGGGGACUGAGGAACGCAGUGUGCCUUUGGCGGGGGUUUCGACCUCUUCACACUUAGGAUGCUGGUGGAAUGGCUUUAAACGACCCGUCUU
RNAcentral lists this ribosomal RNA (577 nucleotides) under Rhodotorula mucilaginosa. RNAcentral's name for it is "eukaryotic LSU rRNA". It matches the Rfam family "Eukaryotic large subunit ribosomal RNA", at positions 62 to 655 of the family's 3401-position model. Lineage: Eukaryota; Fungi; Basidiomycota; Microbotryomycetes; Sporidiobolales; Sporidiobolaceae. The record is from RNAcentral.